AGUGAACGCUGGCGGCAGGCCUAAUACAUGCAAGUCGAACGGCAGCACAGCAGAGCUUGCUCUGUGGGUGGCGAGUGGCGGACGGGUGAGGAAUACAUGGGAAUCUGCCCAGUCGUGGGGGAUAACGUAGGGAAACUUACGCUAAUACCGCAUGCGCCCUUCGGGGGAAAGCCGGGGACCCGUAAGGCCUGCGCGAUUGGAUGAGCCCAUGUCGGAUUAGCUAGUUGGCGGGUAAAGGCCCACCAAGGCGACGAUCCGUAGCUAGGUCUGAGAGGAAUGAUCAGCCACACUGGAACUGAGACAGGUCCAGACUCCUACGGAGCAGCCAGUAGGGAAUAUU
This 340-nucleotide ribosomal RNA is filed under the name uncultured bacterium. Its description in RNAcentral is "bacterial SSU rRNA". It matches the Rfam family "Bacterial small subunit ribosomal RNA", at positions 29 to 365 of the family's 1533-position model. The record is from RNAcentral.